This 310-nucleotide unclassified non-coding RNA is filed under the name plant metagenome. RNAcentral describes it as "partial contains 5.8S ribosomal RNA, internal transcribed spacer 2, and large subunit ribosomal RNA". The stretch from base 1 to 105 matches the Rfam family "5.8S ribosomal RNA", at positions 50 to 154 of the family's 154-position model. The record is from RNAcentral.
GAAAUGCGAUAAGUAGUGUGAAUUGCAGAAUUCAGUGAAUCAUCGAUUCUUUGAACGCACAUUGCGCCCCUUGGUAUUCCAUGGGGCAUGCCUGUUCGAGCGUCAUUUGUACCCUCAAGCUCUGCUUGGUGUUGGGUGUUUGUCCCCGUCUCCGCGCGUGGACUCGCCCCAAAGUGAUUGGCAGCCGGCGUACUGGUCCCGGAGCGCAGCACAUGUCGCGCAAACGAGUGCCUUGGUACGGCGGCGUCCAUAAGCCCCUCUCUCACGCUCUUGACCUCGGAUCAGGUAGGGAUACCCGCUGAACUUAAGC